AUUCACUCACCCAAGCCCAUUCAUCCUCUUUAGCAAACCAUCAAAGCAAUUAAAACCAAAGUCAAUUUUGCCUCUUCAGCUCUCUUUCAAACCCGAAAACACCAAAGUCUUUUCUUCCUCUUUAGCACUAUUCUUUGUUUACGUCUAAUAAAUCCCCCUACAACAUAUCCUCUCGCAAGCUGGCAACGGAAGCUUCAAGAUUAUUGUUCCGCAAGCAGACAACAACGUUGUUCAAAGAAGGUCUCAUGGAACAGCUAGGGCUUCUAUUUUUAUGGGCUUUGGGGAUCUACAAACCAACAUGAUAAGUUAUGCAGCAAAAAUACCGGCAAAAGAAGGAAAAUGCGAGUUAAUUCGUGUGAUAGGAUACAACUCCGUUCAUGUCAUCUAGCCGGCUGUUCCCCCUUCAUGACGGCAAGAACAAGCAUUAUUCAUUUUGAAAACUUCUAUUUUCAUUUCUGCAAAUUGUGUACUUGACCUUUUUUUAUUAGUUUCCAUAGAGCAACCUUUGCCUCAUCUAGUGUU
Molecule: long non-coding RNA, 522 nt
Organism: Tripterygium wilfordii
Lineage: Eukaryota; Viridiplantae; Streptophyta; Magnoliopsida; Celastrales; Celastraceae
Exons: 2
Source: RefSeq, a predicted model, not a curated record